UAAUACCAGCUCUCCGAGUGGUAGGGACAAUUAUUGGGCUUAAAGCGUCCGUAGCCGGCCCGGCAAGUUUUCCGUUAAAUCCAACGAUUCAAUCGUUGGGCCGCGGGGGAUACUGUCCGGCUAGGGGGCGGGAGAGGCCGACGGUAUCCUCGGGGUAGGGGUGAAAUCCUAUAAUCCCGGGAGGACCACCAGUGGCGAAGGCUGUCGGCUAGAACGCGCUCGACGGUGAGGGAUGAAAGCUGGGGGAGCGAACCGGAUUAGAUACCCGGGUAGUCCCAGCUGUAAACGAUGCAGGCUAGGUGUUGGCGCGGCUACGUGCCGCUCCAGUGCCGCAGGGAAGCCGUUAAGCCUGCCGCCUGGGAAGUACGGCCGCAAGGCUG
This 380-nucleotide ribosomal RNA is filed under the name uncultured archaeon. Its description in RNAcentral is "bacterial SSU rRNA". It matches the Rfam family "Archaeal small subunit ribosomal RNA", at positions 471 to 851 of the family's 1478-position model. The record is from RNAcentral.